Molecule: ribosomal RNA, 492 nt
Filed under: uncultured bacterium
Lineage: Bacteria
Description: partial 16S ribosomal RNA
Rfam family: Bacterial small subunit ribosomal RNA
Source: RNAcentral
AGUGAACGCUGGCGGUAGGCCUAACACAUGCAAGUCGAACGGCAGCACAGUACUAGCUUGCUCUUACGGGUGGCGAGUGGCGGACGGCUGAGGAAUACAUCGGCAUCUACUUUUUCGUGGGGGUUAACGUCGGGAACCUUACGCUAAUACCGCAUACGACCUACGGGUGAAAGCAGGGGAUCUUCGGACCUUGCGCGAUUGCAUGAGCCGAUGUCGGAUUAGCUAGUUGGCGGGGUAAAGGCCCACCAAGGCGACGAUCCGUUGCUGGUCUGAGAGGAUGAUCAGCCACACGGGAACUGAGACACGGUCCAGACGCCUACGGGAGGCAGCAGUGGGGAAUAUUGGACAAUGGGCGCAAGCCUGAUCCAGCCAUACCGCGUGGGUGAAGAAGGCCUUCGGGUUGGAAAGCCCGUUUGUUGGGAAAGAAAAGCAGCAGGUUAAUACCCCGCUGUUCUGACGGUACCCAAAGAAUAAGCACCGGCUAACUUCGUG